UACGUAGGGUGCAAGCGUUAAUCGGAAUUACUGGGCGUAAAGCGUGCGCAGGCGGUUGUGCAAGACAGAUGUGAAAUCCCCGGGCUUAACCUGGGAACUGCAUUUGUGACUGCAUGGCUAGAGUGUGUCAGAGGGGGGUAGAAUUCCACGUGUAGCAGUGAAAUGCGUAGAUAUGUGGAGGAAUACCGAUGGCGAAGGCAGCCCCCUGGGAUAACACUGACGCUCAUGCACGAAAGCGUGGGGAGCAAACAGG
RNAcentral lists this ribosomal RNA (253 nucleotides) under uncultured bacterium. Its description in RNAcentral is "partial 16S ribosomal RNA". It matches the Rfam family "Bacterial small subunit ribosomal RNA", at positions 524 to 776 of the family's 1533-position model. The record is from RNAcentral.